Molecule: ribosomal RNA, 713 nt
Filed under: Azadinium spinosum
Lineage: Eukaryota; Dinophyceae; Gonyaulacales; Amphidomataceae
Description: partial Bacterial large subunit ribosomal RNA
Rfam family: Bacterial large subunit ribosomal RNA
Source: RNAcentral
AUACGGUGGAUGCCUUGGCAGUUAGAGGCGAUGAAGGACGUGUAAGUCUGCGAAAAGCGUUGGUGAGCUGACAAAAAGCGUUAUAACCAACGAUGUCCGAAUGGGGAAACCCGGCACUUCGGUGUCAUCUGCAACUGAAUACAUAGGUUGCAGAAGCGAACGAGGGGAACUGAAACAUCUAAGUACCCUUAGGAAGAGAAAUCAAUUGAGAUUGCCUUAGUAGCGGCGAGCGAACGGGUAACAGCCGAUGGUUUAUGUUGUAGUGGAACGGUCUGGAAAGUCCGGCGAUACAGGGUGAUAGCCCCGUACACGAAGCAACAUUUAUCACAUAUUAAGUAGGUCGGGACACGUGUUAUCCUGACUGAAGAUGGGGGGACCAUCCUCCAAGGCUAAAUACUCCUAACUGACCGAUAGUGAACCAGUACCGUGAGGGAAAGGCGAAAAGAACCCCGGCGAGGGGAGUGAAAUAGAACCUGAAACCGUAUACGUACAAGCAGUGGAAGCCGACUUGUUCGGUGACUGCGUACCUUUUGUAUAAUGGGUCAGCGACUUAUAUUCUGUAGCGAGGUUAACCGUAUAGGGGAGCCGUAGCGAAAGCGAGUCUUAACUGGGCGUUAAGUUGCAGGGUAUAGACCCGAAACCCGGUGAUCUAGCCAUGGGCAGGUUGAAGGUUGAGUAACAUCAACUGGAGGACCGAACCCACUAACUUUGAA